RNAcentral lists this ribosomal RNA (218 nucleotides) under uncultured bacterium. Its description in RNAcentral is "partial 16S ribosomal RNA". It matches the Rfam family "Bacterial small subunit ribosomal RNA", at positions 328 to 539 of the family's 1533-position model. The record is from RNAcentral.
ACGCUCGACACCUACGGGAGGUAGCAGUGAGGAAUAUUGGUCAAUGGGCGCUAGCCUGAACCAGCCAAGUAGCGUGAAGGAUGAAGGCUCUAUGGGUCGUAAACUUCUUUUAUAUAAGAAUAAAGUGCAGUAUGUAUACUGUUUUGUAUGUAUUAUAUGAAUAAGGAUCGGCUAACUCCGUGCCAACAGCCGCGGUAAUCUGAGCGGGCUGGCAAGGC